ACGUCAAAUCAUCAUGCCCCUUAUGUCUAGGGCUACACACGUGCUACAAUGGGCAGUACAAUGUGAUGCAAUCCCGUGAGGGGGAGCUAAACACGAAAACUGUUCCCAGUUCGGAUUGCAGGCUGCAACUCGCCUGCAUGAAGCUGGAGUUGCUAGUAAUCGCAAAUCAGAAUGUUGCGGUGAAUACGUUCCCGGGCCUU
This 200-nucleotide ribosomal RNA is filed under the name uncultured organism. Its description in RNAcentral is "partial small subunit ribosomal RNA". It matches the Rfam family "Bacterial small subunit ribosomal RNA", at positions 1182 to 1382 of the family's 1533-position model. The record is from RNAcentral.